UCAGGCCUGUAUAUCACAGCAAGGCAGCCAGUCCUGUAAACAGAUGUCACAUGCAGAGAAACACAAUUAGACAUUGAGCAACAUCAGUUGACACAUUGACACCGAAUCCCAGCUUUACCUCACGUGAUCUCAUGGCGGCCUCUGAGGUCCAGUUACAAGAAACACAGAAAGUUUUCAUAAAAGCACUUCCCUGUCUGAACUAAAAUGUUUUUUAUUUCCCUCUCUGUCCUUAAUGUCGAGCUACUUGAGCAAAGGCGGGGUCAGGGGUAUUCGGGGUCUUUGGAAUCCGGCACAACCUACAAUAAACAAUUACAGACUGUCAAUCCCUCGGUGCACUUGUUAGUGCGGGGCCUUGGGCGGUCCCCCCAUGCUCGUCCCUCCCCACUUAGGCUGUGCACUAAAUAUAGGAGAGUAAAGAAAGAAGUCCGGGUUUUCUCACCUGACACAACCUUUCAGUUUCACGCUCCACUGACGUUUGAAAGCUGUUGAGACGCACGUUGUAUCAAGAGACAAACAAUGCCCAGUCACCUGCAGGAAGUAGUUCACUCCAGUGUGGCGCCAUCUUGUGAGGACGUAGCUACAGGAGUUUACUGACUACAGAGUCAGACGGUGUGUCAGGGAGUACUAGAGGCAACCAUUCUUGUUAACUCACUGAUGAUGGUUGUUCCGAGAUGGACCUGACAGUGAUCUACUCUCUCAUCCUCCUCCAGCUUAUCUCAGUCUUUGUUGUUCCAAAUAACAGUACAUGCUGUGUUGGAACCUGCAACGGCUGUAACAAUAACUGCAACAGCUGUAACAAAACUGCAACAGCUGUAAACAAAUCUGCAACAGCUGUUGCAAGUAAGUUGAUGAUUUAAGCCUUUUCUGCAACAGCUCAUACUUCAUAUAUACAUUGAAAACGUAUACUG
Molecule: long non-coding RNA, 908 nt
Organism: Pomacea canaliculata
Lineage: Eukaryota; Metazoa; Mollusca; Gastropoda; Architaenioglossa; Ampullariidae
Exons: 3
Source: RefSeq, a predicted model, not a curated record